RNAcentral lists this small nucleolar RNA (124 nucleotides) under Castor canadensis (American beaver). Its description in RNAcentral is "Small nucleolar RNA SNORA70 (ENSCCNG00000009350.1)". It matches the Rfam family "Small nucleolar RNA SNORA70". From Rfam's summary of the family: snoRNA U70 seems to be exclusive to mammals and is a member of the H/ACA class of snoRNA which contain H (ANANNA) and ACA box motifs. H/ACA box snoRNAs are involved in the conversion of uridines to pseudouridines (5-ribosyluracil) a constituent of structural RNAs (transfer, ribosomal, small nuclear, and small nucleolar). The record is from Rfam by way of RNAcentral. Lineage: Eukaryota; Metazoa; Chordata; Mammalia; Rodentia; Castoridae.
CUGCAGCCAGUUAAACUGAUGAAAUCCUAUACUUGUGGGGGCCCCAUGUGCAACUACAACUUCCUGGGUAGUAUAUGCAGCCUGCUACUUGAAUGGGUUGCCCUAAGGGACCUUAGAGACAGCC